CUGGUCUUGACAUCCACGGAAGUUUUCAGAGAUGAGAAUGUGCCUUCGGGAACCGUGAGACAGGUGCUGCAUGGCUGUCGUCAGCUCGUGUUGUGAAAUGUUGGGUUAAGUCCCGCAACGAGCGCAACCCUUAUCCUUUGUUGCCAGCGGUCCGGCCGGGAACUCAAAGGAGACUGCCAGUGAUAAACUGGAGGAAGGUGGGGAUGACGUCAAGUCAUCAUGGCCCUUACGACCAGGGCUACACACGUGCUACAAUGGCGCAUACAAAGAGAAGCGACCUCGCGAGAGCAAGCGGACCUCAUAAAGUGCGUCGUAGUCCGGAUUGGAGUCUGCAACUCGACUCCAUGAAGUCGGAAUCGCUAGUAAUCGUGGAUCAGAAUGCCACGGUGAA
This 391-nucleotide ribosomal RNA is filed under the name uncultured soil bacterium. Its description in RNAcentral is "bacterial SSU rRNA". It matches the Rfam family "Bacterial small subunit ribosomal RNA", at positions 975 to 1366 of the family's 1533-position model. The record is from RNAcentral.